Molecule: transfer RNA, 71 nt
Filed under: Candidatus Azambacteria bacterium RIFOXYA1_FULL_42_37
Lineage: Bacteria; Candidatus Azamiibacteriota
Also listed under: 6 other names
Description: tRNA-Ala
Rfam family: tRNA
About the family: Transfer RNA (tRNA) molecules are approximately 80 nucleotides in length. Their secondary structure includes four short double-helical elements and three loops (D, anti-codon, and T loops).
Source: RNAcentral
GGGCCUAUGGUAAAGUGGCAUCACGCGUCAUUCGCAUUGACGAGUCGGCGGUCCGAUUCCGCCUAGGUCCA